Molecule: long non-coding RNA, 202 nt
Filed under: Capsella rubella
Lineage: Eukaryota; Viridiplantae; Streptophyta; Magnoliopsida; Brassicales; Brassicaceae
Description: long non-coding RNA (CRUB_LNC000170)
Source: RNAcentral
UUGAAUGAAAGAGAGAAAUGAGAUUAGUAGAGAUUGCGAGUUUAGAGAUUGUGAAGAAAGAGAGAACUUCUCAUUUCAUACUCGAAAAAGAACUAUGCUUACAAUCUAUUUAAAGACUAGACAAAGAGAAUAAAAUACACACAAAUAUACAAGAUAUUUUGCUUCCCACUUGGAGAUGAAAGCGACGUGAGCUCGAGGUUGU